Molecule: ribosomal RNA, 518 nt
Filed under: uncultured bacterium
Lineage: Bacteria
Description: SSU rRNA
Rfam family: Bacterial small subunit ribosomal RNA
Source: RNAcentral
AGAGCGAACGCUGGCGGCGUACUUAACACAUGCAAGUCGAACGGGGAUUGUCGGGUUAGCAAUAAUUCGGCGGUCCUAGUGGCGCACGGGUGAGUAACACGUGGGUAACCUGCCCUAGAGUUCGGGAUACCCCCUCGAAAGGGGGGCUAAUACCGGAUACGUUCCUCGAGUCGAGAGACUUGAGGAGGAAAGGUGGCGCAAGCUGCCGCUCUUGGAGGGGCUCGCGGCCUAUCAGCUAGUUGGCGGGGUAACGGCCCACCAAGGCUAUGACGGGUAGCUGGUCUGAGAGGACGACCAGCCACACGGGGGACUGAGACACGGCCCCGACUCCUACGGGAGGCAGCAGUGGGGAAUCUUGCGCAAUGCGCGAAAGCGUGACGCAGCAACGCCGCGUGGGGGAAGAAGGCCUUCGGGUUGUAAACCCCUUUCAGGAGGGACGAAGGUGCGGCGGCGAACAGCCGACCGUACUGACGGUACCUCCAGAACGAAGCCCCGGCUAACUACGUGCCAGCAGCCGC